UACUCCUACGGGAGGCAGCAGUGGGGAAUAUUGGACAAUGGGCGCAAGCCUGAUCCAGCCAUGCCGCGUGAGUGAUGAAGGCCCUAGGGUUGUAAAGCUCUUUCACCGGUGAAGAUAAUGACGGUAACCGGAGAAGAAGCCCCGGCUAACUUCGUGCCAGCAGCCGCGGUAAUAAU
RNAcentral lists this ribosomal RNA (176 nucleotides) under uncultured bacterium. Its description in RNAcentral is "partial 16S ribosomal RNA". It matches the Rfam family "Bacterial small subunit ribosomal RNA", at positions 334 to 526 of the family's 1533-position model. The record is from RNAcentral.